RNAcentral lists this ribosomal RNA (377 nucleotides) under uncultured bacterium. RNAcentral's name for it is "bacterial SSU rRNA". It matches the Rfam family "Bacterial small subunit ribosomal RNA", at positions 523 to 898 of the family's 1533-position model. The record is from RNAcentral.
AUACGUAGGUGGCAAGCGUUGUCCGGAUUUAUUGGGCGUAAAGCGAGCGCAGGCGGUUCUUUAAGUCUGAUGUGAAAGCCCCCGGCUCAACCGGGGAGGGUCAUUGGAAACUGGAGAACUUGAGUGCAGAAGAGGAGAGUGGAAUUCCAUGUGUAGCGGUGAAAUGCGUAGAUAUAUGGAGGAACACCAGUGGCGAGGGCGACUCUCUGGUCUGUAACUGACGCUGAGGCUCGAAAGCGUGGGGAGCAAACAGGAUUAGAUACCCUGGUAGUCCACGCUGUAAACGAUGAGUGCUAAGUGUUGGAGGGUUUCCGCCCUUCAGUGCUGCAGCUAACGCAUUAAGCACUCCGCCUGGGGAGUACGACCGCAAGGUUGAA